UUAGUAGAAACCAAAAAGAGGUGUAUCACUGUUAAUGAUAAAAUUGAGAUUUUCUCCUACUAAG
RNAcentral lists this transfer RNA (64 nucleotides) under Hapalocarcinus marsupialis. RNAcentral's name for it is "tRNA-Asn". The record is from RNAcentral. Lineage: Eukaryota; Metazoa; Arthropoda; Malacostraca; Decapoda; Cryptochiridae.